This 240-nucleotide ribosomal RNA is filed under the name uncultured bacterium. RNAcentral's name for it is "partial 16S ribosomal RNA". It matches the Rfam family "Bacterial small subunit ribosomal RNA", at positions 122 to 354 of the family's 1533-position model. The record is from RNAcentral.
UAACCUGCCCAAGAGACUGGGAUAACACCUGGAAACAGAUGCUAAUACCGGAUAACAACACUAGACGCAUGUCUAGAGUUUAAAAGAUGGUUCUGCUAUCACUCUUGGAUGGACCUGCGGUGCAUUAGCUAGUUGGUAAGGCAACGGCUUACCAAGGCAAUGAUGCAUAGCCGAGUUGAGAGACUGAUCGGCCACAUUGGGACUGAGACACGGCCCAAACUCCUACGGGAGGCAGCAGGA